AUUUCAGUCCUAAUCUUGAUUUACCCAAUCUUUAAAAGCUAUAAUCUCUAAACUUAAAGGAUUUGGCGGUAAUUUAGUCCAGUUAGAGGAACCUGUAAUAUAAACGAUACACCACGCAAAAUCUUACCUAUUUUUUGCUUGUAUACCGUCAUUAUUAAAUAACUCUCAAAGAUAAGUUAUUUCAAUAAAUAUUAAUUUUAUAUAUUAGAUCAAGGUGCAGCCUAUAAAUAGGAACUUAUGGGUUACAAUAAAAUUUAUUUAAACGAAUAAUAAACUUAAAUAUUUUUUUGAAGGAGGAUUUAAUAGUAAAUUUAGUUUAACAUGUUAAAUUGAUAAAGGACCUAAAUUGUGUACAUAUCGCCCGUCACUUUCACUCUUUAAUGAAAUAAGUCGUAACAUAG
RNAcentral lists this ribosomal RNA (401 nucleotides) under Aqaballianassa sp. PNG-1166. RNAcentral's name for it is "partial small subunit ribosomal RNA". The record is from RNAcentral. Lineage: Eukaryota; Metazoa; Arthropoda; Malacostraca; Decapoda; Callianassidae.